Apis cerana (Asiatic honeybee) is the source of this 1474-nucleotide long non-coding RNA. RefSeq lists it as uncharacterized. The record is from RefSeq and is a predicted model, not a curated record. Lineage: Eukaryota; Metazoa; Arthropoda; Insecta; Hymenoptera; Apidae.
AUAAAAAGAAAAAUAUAAAGUUAUUGUAUUUUUAGAUUAUAAUUGUUAUAUAAAUAAAUUAUAUGUAUGUUAAGUUAUCUUUAAUAUCUUUAUUCGUUAUACAGAUUUCCUGUUGCUGUUAUAUACCUACCACGAAAAGAUAUUCGAGAAUACAUGUAUGCAGAUGAAACAAGAGAAACUGUUCGCAAUUUUGUAUCUGGAUAACGAUGAUAUUAUUUAACAAACAAGCCGGAUGGAAGAUUUAUCAGUGUACUGUUACCAUUAAUCUUUGCAACGACUUUAGCACACCAGCAUGAAAUUAUUUCUCGGUGAUCAGAAGGAGAAAAGAGAAAGAAAAUAAAAGGAAGAGGAAGAGGAAAAGAGAAGUAAUUGUUCAAAGUCCACUAUAGGUCCAGUAAUUCCGAAGGCGAACCAUCAUGUCGGCGUCUCGAUUGGUACGGACAUACGAGCACGCACGUAUUCGCGGUACAAGACUGAAAGGACACGUCUCGAAUAUUUUACCCCGGGAGUUUUUCCUCUUUAAUUGAUUCAAUCGGCGAAAAACACGGCAGGACCGCUUCACCCUCCGGGAAUUUUCACCCGCCGCCGCCUCACACCACUUCCGCGUCAUCCACGCUUUCAGCAACCAACCGCUGUAACGAGACGCUAGAACUAACCUUCCUUUUCGAUGAAAACGCCAACUCCUCUUCGCGGUUAGUCCCUUCCCUAUUCCCUCAUUCUCUACACCUACUUUUCUACCCUGUCUCUUUGUCUCCCUCUCCCCUUUCCUUCAUCCUUAUUUUCUCUUUAUUAUUAUUUUCAAUUUCUCUGGAUCUAAAUCUCUUUAUUAUAUAUUUGUCUAAUCAUUCUUUGCAAUUUUCCAAUUUUAUUAUCCCUUUACCUUUGCUUUUAUCUUUCUUUUUCUAUUUAUAAAAGAUCAAUUUAAUUAAUUCAUGUUUUUUUUUGUUUUUAUUCUCAUAUGAAUAAGUACGUUUUUUUUUAAUUUAUCUAUUAUUUAUUCUUUUUUUAACAUCGUUAUAUUUUAUCAAUUUUUUAUCAAUUUGAGAUUAGAAUAUCCAUGUCCCUUACAUCGAGGCAAUUUCGUGAUGUAAUAUAGAAACAUUUAUAUAUAUACAGAGGCGGAGACGAAAGCAGCAUUCCUGUGGAUCCAUUUAUCUGUAGGAAAUCGCGUUUGUGAGAAUACACUGGAAACAGAACUUUCCAUAAAUGAUGGAAACUCGGGAAUUUUCCGUUUAUUAUUUUAAUUAGAGCCUUCGGGCCAUACUUAACGAGAAUCUGGCUGUCUGCGUUUAUAUUGUGUUACAUCUACAAAAUGACAAUGGAAUGUGAUAUUAUCGGUUUCUACUUACAUGACGCCCUGUAAUUUGCGCUCCAAUCGAGAUAUAGAAAAUUUUCACAAUAGAUAUGUAUAUUUCUUAUCUUGCUUGUACUUUGUAAUUUUUAUUAUAAAAAAACGAAUACAAAAAAUAUCUAU